CGCGUAGGCGGACUUCCAAGUCGGAUGUGAAAACUAUCGGCUCAACUGAUAGCCUGCAUUCGAUACUGUUGGUCUUGAGUACAGGAGAGGAAAGCGGAAUUCCAGGUGUAGCGGUGAAAUGCGUAGAUAUCUGGAAGAACACCGGUAGCGAAGGCGGCUUUCUGGACUGAUACUGACGCUAAAGCGCGAAGGCUUGGGUAGCAAACAGGAUUAGAUACCCUGGUAGUCC
This 229-nucleotide ribosomal RNA is filed under the name uncultured bacterium. RNAcentral describes it as "partial 16S ribosomal RNA". It matches the Rfam family "Bacterial small subunit ribosomal RNA", at positions 568 to 796 of the family's 1533-position model. The record is from RNAcentral.